UUAGAAAAUGUUUUGGGUCAAUUUUUUCGCGCCAAAAUCAUUUCUAUAAAUAAAACAGAAUAGGAAAUAUUUGUAUCUAUUCCUAAACCUAUUCUAAACCUAUCCCUAUCUGCCGCUCAGCACAGCACGCAGCAGCAGCAUUCUGGCCCAAGGCCACGAAUCCACAGCGCAGUAGCAGAGUGGCCUGAGGCCCAAGACAGCAAAGGCCCAGCAGCGGACCGCAUUGCCCCCUCUCCCUUUCUUUUUCUUUUAGGUCACUGACAGGAGGAGCCCACUCGUCAGCCACACACCGCCACCAACCCACUGACGCCCCUGUCCCGCAGUUGUCUUCCACCUCCGUUCGGUCUCCUGUUCACGCAUGCCUCACAUCGUAUCUCUCACAUCUGUCUCGCCCGAUUCACACCAAUCCUUCCAUGAUUUCGGCCUGUCUCGCACCCCAUCGCGAUGCACUCGAUCUCCUCUGUCUAUUCCCUCUACUGGCCCCUCCACCCGUGCCCUAGCUCGAGGGAACCGAGCUCGAGGAGAUCCGCCACCGCGCCCGACGCCGAAGCACACCAGAAGGAGAGCAUCAACCUCAACUCGAAGCAGCAGCCUUCAACCAUGACUUGAGCCGCUCGCCGCCGUUACUACAGGACACGCCGAAGCACCACUAGGACGCCCUCGGAUCCACCGCUUGCCACUGCACCUUCCUUUGCACUUCUUCGAGUCAUAACACAAUCAGGAGCAUCGUCACGCUUGAAACUGAAGCCGUCGUCGUCGAUGGCAACCAAAAUCCCCUCCGCCCGAACAGAAGACCGCUGCCCGAGCCUCCUACCACGGCCAAGUCUGGCAACAUUAGCCACACCCCUACCCCUCUGUGUCACACCUGCUCCCACCUAAGCAGUGGACCCUCAGGGAGAAAGGGUCUAGUGUGAGUUUGGGCUGAGCCCAGUGGGCCGUAUGUGGCCAGGGUGCGUGUGUGCAAUGGGUGCGUGUCUGUAUUAAACACCUGGAUUGCGUGAGACAGAGUAGCGAGAGAAACGCUCAGUUAUCUGAAUCU
Molecule: long non-coding RNA, 1039 nt
Organism: Aegilops tauschii subsp. strangulata
Lineage: Eukaryota; Viridiplantae; Streptophyta; Magnoliopsida; Poales; Poaceae
Source: RefSeq, a predicted model, not a curated record